UACGUAGGGGGCAAGCGUUAUCCGGAUUUACUGGGUGUAAAGGGAGCGUAGGCGGCGACGCAAGUCAGAAGUGAAAGCCCGGGGCUCAACUCCGGGACUGCUUUUGAAACUGCGUUGCUAGAUUGCGGGAGAGGCAAGUGGAAUUCCUAGUGUAGCGGUGAAAUGCGUAGAUAUCAGGAGGAACACCGGCGGCGAAGGCGGCCUGCUGGACCGCGACUGACGUUGAGGCUCGAAAGCGUGGGGAGCGAACAGG
Molecule: ribosomal RNA, 253 nt
Filed under: uncultured Coprococcus sp.
Lineage: Bacteria; Bacillati; Bacillota; Clostridia; Lachnospirales; Lachnospiraceae
Description: partial 16S ribosomal RNA
Rfam family: Bacterial small subunit ribosomal RNA
Source: RNAcentral